GGUGUUAAAAAGGUGUUGUUAUAGGUUGUUCACUGGUUUGGCUGCAUAAUUACUACCCUAUUUUCCAUGCUCUUUGAUUCCAUUACAUGCCUUCAAGGUGUUUGACAAAAUGUCCAACUAUGGAGAAUUGAUGAAUCGAUGCUUUAAAGCUUGAGUUAUGAGAUGUAUGGAAAUCCAGAGAUGUGUUGAUGACAAACUAAGCUUGUGUAUAUGUUCAUUCCAUACGUGAGAUUGCAUUAGAGCCUAAUGAGAAUUUCCUAUAUAAAGUGUUGCAUGACCAUGCCCGGUCCGGGGGAAAAGAACCGGACAACCAUGUGAGAGGUUUAUAUCUCACCACCUAGGAUGCUUGGGGUGUGACCAACAUCAACCAUGUGAGAGGUUUAUAUCUCACCACCUAGGAUGCUUGGGGUGUGACCAACAUCAACC
This 426-nucleotide long non-coding RNA is filed under the name Solanum tuberosum (potato). RNAcentral's name for it is "long non-coding RNA (STUB_LNC011537)". The record is from RNAcentral. Lineage: Eukaryota; Viridiplantae; Streptophyta; Magnoliopsida; Solanales; Solanaceae.